CCCAGACUCCUACGGGAGGCAGCAGUGAGGAAUAUUGGUCAAUGGGCUUACGCCUGAACCAGCCAAGUCGCGUGAGGGAAGACUGCCCUAUGGGUUGUAAACCUCUUUUGUCAGGGAGCAAUUGGCGCUACGUGUAGCGUUAUCGAGAGUACCUGAAGAAAAAGCAUCGGCUAACUCCGUGCCAGCAGCCGCGGUAAUACGGAGGAUGCGAGCGUUAUCCGGAUUUAUUGGGUUUAAAGGGUGCGUAGGCGGGCAUUUAAGCCGGCGGUCAAAUGUCGGGGCUCAACCCCGGCCUGCCGUCGGAACUGGGUGCCUUGAGUGGGCGAGAAGUAUGCGGAAUGCGCAGUGUAGCGGUGAAGUGCUUAGAUAUUGCGCAGAACUCCGAUUGCGAAGGCAGCAUACCGGCGGCGAUCUGACGCUGAGGCACGAAAGCGUGGGUAUCGAACAGGAUUAGAUACCCGGGUAC
RNAcentral lists this ribosomal RNA (466 nucleotides) under uncultured bacterium. RNAcentral's name for it is "bacterial SSU rRNA". It matches the Rfam family "Bacterial small subunit ribosomal RNA", at positions 330 to 793 of the family's 1533-position model. The record is from RNAcentral.